RNAcentral lists this ribosomal RNA (497 nucleotides) under uncultured bacterium. RNAcentral's name for it is "partial 16S ribosomal RNA". It matches the Rfam family "Bacterial small subunit ribosomal RNA", at positions 28 to 507 of the family's 1533-position model. The record is from RNAcentral.
GAUGAACGCUGGCGGCGUGCCUAAUACAUGCAAGUCGAGCGAACAGACGAGGAGCUUGCUCCUCUGACGUUAGCGGCGGACGGGUGAGUAACACGUGUAUAACCUACCUAUAAGACUGGGAUAACUUCGGGAAACCGGAGCUAAUACCGGAUAAUAUAUUGAACCGCAUGGUUCAAUGGUGAAAUACGGUUUUGCUGUCACUUAUAGAUGGAUCCGCGCCGCAUUAGCUAGUUGGUAAGGUAACGGCUUACCAAGGCAACGAUGCGUAGCCGACCUGAGAGGGUGAUCGGCCACACUGGAACUGAGACACGGUCCAGACUCCUACGGGAGGCAGCAGUAGGGAAUCUUCCGCAAUGGGCGAAAGCUUGACGGAGCAACGCCGCGUGAGUGAUGAAGGUCUUCGGAUCGUAAAACUCUGUUAUUAGGGAAGAACAAAUGUGUAAGUAACUAUGCACGUCUUGACGGUACCUAAUCAGAAAGCCACGGCUAACUACGUG